ACAUUGGUUCUUCGUGAUACUCAAUUGUGAACCCCGUCAGGUCCGGAAGGAAGCAGCGGCAGCAAUGAAGGUAUGCACCGAAGGUCGCUAGUGUAGC
RNAcentral lists this signal recognition particle RNA (97 nucleotides) under Gammaproteobacteria bacterium. RNAcentral's name for it is "signal recognition particle sRNA small type". It matches the Rfam family "Bacterial small signal recognition particle RNA". From Rfam's summary of the family: The signal recognition particle (SRP) is a universally conserved ribonucleoprotein involved in the co-translational targeting of proteins to membranes. Archaeal SRP consists of a 7S RNA and homologues of the eukaryotic SRP19 and SRP54 proteins. The record is from RNAcentral. Lineage: Bacteria; Pseudomonadati; Pseudomonadota; Gammaproteobacteria.